This is a long non-coding RNA of Odontomachus brunneus, 1938 nucleotides long. RefSeq lists it as uncharacterized. Lineage: Eukaryota; Metazoa; Arthropoda; Insecta; Hymenoptera; Formicidae. The transcript is spliced from 3 exons. The record is from RefSeq and is a predicted model, not a curated record.
UAGUUGUGAACCAACAAAGCUUCCGAGCUGACACAAUGGGGCCGCCGCGCGGUGCGGCACUUACACGGCGGACUGGAACAAAGUAGCGUGACACUUUCAGUAACAGAAGCGUCAUCGGACAGAGAUACGUCGGAAUGUCGGCGCGCUGGCGCUGUCUAUCUGUCCUCAGCAGACAAUACGAGAUCCGAGGACAGACGUGGCCGAACCGCGCCCCUUUCAUGUACUGCUGAUUGAUACCCUCGGUCCUGUCCGCCGUGGGGAUGCGACGGUAAUGUCGCCCUCGUUGCCAGUCGCGUACGGCCACAUUAUCAACGCCAGGCCCGAGAGAGAGAGAUGUGCCGAUUAACCGAGCGCGACACCGCCGAAAAUGUCGAAUCGCGUCGAUUCGUCGUUUCGACGCUGCCGCCGAAGUAGAGGCGUAAAGGUAUAAGUACAGCCGCCAUUAUCGUGUGGAGCGGAACGCUCCGUUGUGUCAUACAUCGGCGAAUUGACGUGCACAUCGGACGUUGUUACACGUCGUAAUCGGUUUGAUUAGUACAGUCGAGAGCGAAACGGUUUGAUCACUUCUUCUCCAGUGAAGUUAGUAACUCAUCUAGUUAUCACACUUGAGGCUCAUUCCUCACGGACUUGCGCGAUAAUCGGACGACAGAAGCCGAAAUGACAAUACGUGGUGCGAAAGUAAAUUUUAUCAAGGCAACGUGAAAACAUGUUAAUAUGUUCCAGUUGUAAUAGUGUUCAAAGAACUGAAAAAUCUUGUGCUUCAAAUAUAAGGAACAUCUGACGGCACAACCUAAACUGGAAAUUCAGGAAAAAUGUUGUUACACCGUCCUCAACAUUUGCAGAUUUGUGAAUAUAUAAAUAGAUUUUUACAAGAAAAUAAACUACGCCGAAACUGUGCUUAAGUUUAACUAAUUGGAUCCAGUUAAGACAACAAUUUCUAAGCGCAAUUAAGAAAUUGACUCUACGUAAACUAAAGCCGUAUGAAGAACAGAUGACUUUUUGCAAAAUCAUGCUCUAUUUGUCAUAGACAUUGCAGAAUGUGUUAUUCGGACUACUAUUGCAGUGACCAUAUUUCAAGAACAUACUAAUGACAUGAAUAUAUUUAUUACAACAUAUUUGUGUUCCGCACGAAAUACCAUUAUAGAGGCAAUGAAUUCUAAAUAUUUCUACUGUGAUUAUGUAUCAGGACAUUCUGCUAUGGAAUGAAGAACGCUGGUACAACCACUAUUACGAUCCAUUCUCGACUCAAACAUAUUUCAAUAUAAAUAUGUUAUUCACGUGAUAGUGCUAAAUGUCUUAGAAAGGGAAUAUUUAAAUGCUUGGGACAUAUUUUUACAUCUCAUAAGUUUCAUAAAGGAUCUAACAAUUGUACUGGUAGGACCAAAUUUUGAGCAGGAUUAUUAGAACCUAGAACUUUGUAAUCGAUGCAGGCGCAAGAAGUUAAUAUUUCAUGUUGAAAUUUAUAAUACAUUUUACCAUAUGUAUGUAGCCGAUCCGUCUCUUAAACAACCUGAUAUAAUUAUGGAAUUUCAAGCAGAUUUUAGUAAUGAGUGGACAUGUUCGCGGAGCAUAUUUUUAUCACUGAUUAGACACUAUCCGUUGAUUUUAACCAUUACAUCGGCACAAAAAGCAGAACAAAACAUGUUUAUUUUAAGAUAAAUUUUAGGUUCUCAUAUAUAACCUCUCCAUAAUGCUCAAAAUCUUUUUAGAUCUUGGAGGCCAUGAAGGGAUUUGGAAACUUGUUCUGUAUAUUUUCGUAAUAAUUAUGUAACUGUUUAUUGUAACACAUCUAUUUUAUGGAGACUUAACUAAACGAUCUGGAAAAUUUGUAUACGAUUUUAGCAUUACGUUGAUAACAUUUCUAUAUAUAAUAUACAAGAUGUGUUGUUUGUAUAAACGAAUAAUGAAUAUUUUUAAUAAAAGACACUUUUCAUUAUA